RNAcentral lists this ribosomal RNA (566 nucleotides) under fungal sp. RNAcentral describes it as "eukaryotic LSU rRNA". The stretch from base 209 to 362 matches the Rfam family "5.8S ribosomal RNA". Lineage: Eukaryota; Fungi. The record is from RNAcentral.
GGAAGUAAAAGUCGUAACAAGGUCUCCGUUGGUGAACCAGCGGAGGGAUCAUUACAGAGUUGCAAAACUCCCAAACCAUCGCGAACUUACCGUACCGUUGCUUCGGCGAGGGGCUCCGGGGAGGAGCCGCGGCCCUGACGGGUGCUCGCCGCAAGCCCAACAACUCUGAAUUCUUGGUAUCUCUGAGUAUAACAUACAAAUAAGUUAAAACUUUCAACAACGGAUCUCUUGGUUCUGGCAUCGAUGAAGAACGCAGCGAAAUGCGAUAAGUAAUGUGAAUUGCAGAAUUCAGUGAAUCAUCGAAUCUUUGAACGCACAUUGCGCCCGCUAGUAUUCUGGCGGGCAUGCCUGUUCGAGCGUCAUUUCAACCAUCAGGCCCCCGGGCCCGUGUUGGGGCACUGCGCGCCAGCCGCGCAGGCCCUCAAAACCAGUGGCGGGCUCGCUGUCGCACCGAGCGUAGUAACAUAUCUCGCUUUGGACGCGCGGCGGGCGCUUGCCGUAAAACACCCCCCUUUCUCAAGGUUGACCUCGGAUCAGGUAGGAAUACCCGCUGAACUUAAGCAUAU